RNAcentral lists this long non-coding RNA (1358 nucleotides) under Callithrix jacchus (white-tufted-ear marmoset). RNAcentral describes it as "lncRNA (ENSCJAG00000077883.1)". The record is from RNAcentral. Lineage: Eukaryota; Metazoa; Chordata; Mammalia; Primates; Cebidae.
UCUUUCCUUUCUCCUUCAUUUCUUUUUCUUUCCUUCCUUCCUUCUUUCAUCCUUUCUCAUUUAUUUCCCUCCUUCCUUCUUUCCUUCCUUCUUUUUUCUCCUUUUUCUUUCUUCCUUCUUUCUUUUCUUUCUUUCCUUCUUUUAGAAAGAAUGUGUGUCUUUUUGUUUGUUAGCUUUCGAAACAAGGCCUCACUGUGUCACCCCUGCUGGAGUGCAGUGGCACGGUCAGGGCUCACUACAGCCUCGACUUCCCAGGCUGAAGCCAUUCUCCUGCCUCAGCCUCCAGAGUAGCUGGGGCUACAGGCUGCAACACCACUCCCAGCUAUUUUUGUAUUUUUGAUAGAGAUGGGGUUUUCCCAUUGGCUGGUCUUAACCUCCUGGCUCAAAGUCAUACAUGGGUCUCAGUCUCCCAAAGUGCUGGGAUUACAGGUAUGAGCUGCCAUGCCCGACCUUUUCUUUUCUUUCUUUUUUCUUCUUUUCUUUUCUGGCUUUCUUUUUCUUUUUUAUUUCUCUCUCUGAGAGGGUCUCACUCUGUCACCCAGGCUGCAGUGCAGUGGUGCAGUUAUGGCUCACUGCAGCCUUGGCCUCCUGGGCUUAAGCAAUCCUCCCACCUCAGAUUCCAGAGUAGCUAAUUUUUUAAUUUUUUUUUUUUUUUUUUUUACUUUUUGUAGAGAUGGGGAUCUCGCCGUGUUGCUCAGACUGGUGUCAAAUUCCUGGACUCAAGCCAUCCUUCCACCUCGGCCUCCCAAACUGUUGGGAUUACAGGUGUUGCCAGACGAGAUUAACUUUUGAGCCUGUGGACUGGGAGAAGACCCGCCCUCAGGAAGACCCACCCACAGUGUGGGCAGGCAUCAUCCAAUGGGAUCUCAGCUUGGCUAGAAAAGGCCAGCAGAGGAAGGGAAGGAGCUGACUGGCUGAGUCUUCCAGCCUUCAUCUUUCUGCCGUGCUGGAUGCUUCCUCCCCGAAACAUCAGAUUCCAAGUUCUUCAGCUUUUGGACUCUUGGAUUUACACCAGUGGACUUGCCCCGCUAAAGGCUGGAGAGCGGUGUCCGCUUCUCUGCUUUUGAGGUUGUGGGACUCAGAGCCAUUACUGGCUUCCUUGCUCCUCAGCUUGCAGACAGCCCAUUGUGGGACUUCACCUGGUGAUUGUGUGAGUCAGUUCCCCUUAAUAAACUCCCUUUCAUAUAUACAACUAUCCUAUUAGUCCCAUCCCUCUAGAGAACCCUGACUAACACACCUUUCAACUUCAGAUGGCUUUGUUUCAACCGUGAACCUUGACUGGAGGUCAACCAAGUAUUGGGUACUGUGCUGGGCACUUUAAUUAAAAAGAUAAAAUAAGAUACACUUCUUGUCCUCAA